RNAcentral lists this ribosomal RNA (442 nucleotides) under uncultured bacterium. RNAcentral describes it as "partial 16S ribosomal RNA". It matches the Rfam family "Bacterial small subunit ribosomal RNA", at positions 29 to 507 of the family's 1533-position model. The record is from RNAcentral.
AUGAACGCUGGCGGCAUGCCUCACCCAUGCAAGUCGAUCGGUAAGGCUCUUCGGAGUACACGAGAGGCGGACGGCUGAGUAACGCGUAGGAACACACCCUGCAGUUAGGGAUAAGACACCGAAAGGUGUUCUAAUACCGCAUACGGUCUUCGGAUUAAAGCAUUUAUGCGCUGAAGGAGUGGCCUGCGUCAUAUUAGAUAGUUGGUGAGGUAAUGGCUCACCAAGUCGAUGAUGUGUAGCUGGUCUGAGAGGAUGAUCAGCCAGACUGGAACUGAGACACGGUCCAGACUCCUACGGGAGGCAGCAGUGAGGAAUAUUUCACAAUGAGCGAAAGCUUGAUGGAGCAAUGCCGCGUGCAGGAUGAAGGCCCUCGGGUUGUAAACUGCUUUUAUAAGAGAAGAUUAUGACGGUAACUUAUGAAUAAGGGACGGCUAACUACGUG